CCAGAACCGGGGCCGCCCUGCGCGAGACCACAAACGACAGCGAAGAGCGUUAGGCUGUGGCCGGACAGUGGCGGCGCCGACACUUCCUGCCUGAAGGGGCGGAGCGGAAGGCGCACCGGAAGGCUCGGCGGGACCAAGUGGAACGGGGGAUUUCCCUCAUCUACCUUUCUUUGGGAGAUACGACUAAAACCAACAAAAGCCAAGUUUGGUAAAUAAGAAGUUUAAACAAGUGCUUCUCUGUACAGCUCAUCCACUUCCUCAUCUGUAAACCGAUCCCCCAUGGUUGUCAGCAGCUCUCUCAAGUAAUCUUCCUGAAUGGUGCCUGGAGAAUAAAGAACAAGGGAUCAGAAUACAUACUAUUCUGAGGGUUAAUUACAAAGAAUAUCUAUACUCAACUAAGCAUGUUCUGUAUGUUACAAACUAUAAACAUGCAAAGAUAUAUGAACUACAGGGUGUCCACCUACUUAAAACAGCCUCAGCAGAGAAGUGCCUAGAAAAAUGCCUAGCUGCUUAGCAGCACUGCUCCGCUCUAUCAUUUGCUCUAUCAUUCUGCCUCCACAUUCAGCUUCUGAUCUCUUGAUAAGAGAGACUAAACCUAUGCCUAAACAAAGUAAUAAAAAGUAUGGUUAAAGAAUCUAAGCCUUACGGUUCCUUAAAGUGGCAUGAAUGGUCACAUCUUAUUCUACAAGCAAGUAACAUUUACCUGCCAGGCUAAAAUCAACACUACAUCAUACACAUCAAUAAAGUGGUACAGUGGAAAGAAUACUGGAAACUUGAGGCCCAGUUUUAACAAGCUAUUUUAUUUCAGGCAUUUCACUUUAUCCCUGACUUUGGUUUUCUCAGAUGUAAAAUGAGAUUUUUACUGUUUACAA
RNAcentral lists this long non-coding RNA (872 nucleotides) under Pan troglodytes (chimpanzee). RNAcentral describes it as "long non-coding RNA NONPTRT007472". The record is from RNAcentral. Lineage: Eukaryota; Metazoa; Chordata; Mammalia; Primates; Hominidae.